GAUGAACGCUGGCGGCGUGCCUAAUACAUGCAAGUCGAACGAAACUUCUUUAUCACUGCGUGCCUGAACUUACCGACAAAGGGUUGAGUGACGAACGGGUAAGCAACCUGUAGGCAACCUGUCCCUAAGGGGGGGAUAACACUUGAACACAGGUGCUAAUGAAGCAUAAGCAUCAUUACCGCAAGGUAACUAUGUAAAAGGUGGCUAUACUACCGCUUUUGGAUGAGCCCGCGGCGCAUUAGCCAGUUGGUAAGGUAAAGGCUUACCAAGGCAAUGAUGCGUAGCCGAACUGAGAGGGUGAUCGGCCACAUUGGAACUGAGACACGGCCCAGACUCCUACGGGAGGCAGCAGUAGGGAAUCUUCCGCAAUGGGCGAAAGCCUGACGGAGCAACGCCGCGUGAGUGAUGAAGGUCUUCGGAUCGUAAAACCCUGUUGUUAGGGAAGAACGAGCGUGUAAGUAACUAUUCACGUCUUGACGGUAUCUAACCAGAAAGCCACGGCUAACUACGUG
RNAcentral lists this ribosomal RNA (512 nucleotides) under uncultured bacterium. RNAcentral describes it as "partial 16S ribosomal RNA". It matches the Rfam family "Bacterial small subunit ribosomal RNA", at positions 28 to 507 of the family's 1533-position model. The record is from RNAcentral.